ACUCCUACGGGAGGCAGCAGUGGGGAAUUUUGGACAAUGGGCGAAAGCCUGAUCCAGCAAUGCCGCGUGUGUGAAGAAGGCCUUCGGGUUGUAAAGCACUUUUGUCCGGAAAGAAAUCCUUGGCUCUAAUACAGUCGAGGGAUGACGGUACCGGAAGAAUAAGCACCGGCUAACUACGUGCCAGCAGCCGCGGUAAUACGUAGGGUGCGAGCGUUAAUCGGAAUUACUGGGCGUAAAGCGUGCGCAGGCGGUUUGCUAAGACCGAUGUGAAAUCCCCGGGCUCAACCUGGGAACUGCAUUGGUGACUGGCAGGCUAGAGUAUGGCAGAGGGGGGUAGAAUUCCACGUGUAGCAGUGAAAUGCGUAGAGAUGUGGAGGAAUACCGAUGGCGAAGGCAGCCCCCUGGGCCAAUACUGACGCUCAUGCACGAAAGCGUGGGGAGCAAACAGGAUUAGAUACCCUUGUAGUCC
RNAcentral lists this ribosomal RNA (469 nucleotides) under uncultured organism. Its description in RNAcentral is "partial 16S ribosomal RNA". It matches the Rfam family "Bacterial small subunit ribosomal RNA", at positions 335 to 796 of the family's 1533-position model. The record is from RNAcentral.